Molecule: ribosomal RNA, 564 nt
Filed under: Salmonella enterica subsp. enterica serovar Typhi
Lineage: Bacteria; Pseudomonadati; Pseudomonadota; Gammaproteobacteria; Enterobacterales; Enterobacteriaceae
Description: partial 23S ribosomal RNA
Rfam family: Bacterial large subunit ribosomal RNA
Source: RNAcentral
CCCGGGUUGCGGACAGUGUCUGGUGGGUAGUUUGACUGGGGCGGUCUCCUCCUAAAGAGUAACGGAGGAGCACGAAGGUUGGCUAAUCCUGGUCGGACAUCAGGAGGUUAGUGCAAUGGCAUAAGCCAGCUUGACUGCGAGCGUGACGGCGCGAGCAGGUGCGAAAGCAGGUCAUAGUGAUCCGGUGGUUCUGAAUGGAAGGGCCAUCGCUCAACGGAUAAAAGGUACUCCGGGGAUAACAGGCUGAUACCGCCCAAGAGUUCAUAUCGACGGCGGUGUUUGGCACCUCGAUGUCGGCUCAUCACAUCCUGGGGCUGAAGUAGGUCCCAAGGGUAUGGCUGUUCGCCAUUUAAAGUGGUACGCGAGCUGGGUUUAGAACGUCGUGAGACAGUUCGGUCCCUAUCUGCCGUGGGCGCUGGAGAACUGAGGGGGGCUGCUCCUAGUACGAGAGGACCGGAGUGGACGCAUCACUGGUGUUCGGGUUGUCAUGCCAAUGGCACUGCCCGGUAGCUAAAUGCGGAAGAGAUAAGUGCUGAAAGCAUCUAAGCACGAAACUUGCCCCGA